Molecule: unclassified non-coding RNA, 296 nt
Filed under: uncultured Ascomycota
Lineage: Eukaryota; Fungi; Ascomycota
Description: sequence contains ITS1
Rfam family: 5.8S ribosomal RNA (bases 1-105)
Source: RNAcentral
GAAAUGCGAUAAGUAAUGUGAAUUGCAGAAUUCAGUGAAUCAUCGAAUCUUUGAACGCACAUUGCGCCCCCUGGUAUUCCGGGGGGCACACCUGUCCGAGCGUCAUUUCAACCCGUCAAGCUCUGCUUGGUAUUGGGCGCGGUCGUGCGACCCGCCCGAAACGCGUUGAGCGGCGCCGUCCGGUCUCGAGCGUACGAAGAGUAAAAUCCCUCGCUACGUGACCGCGGCGGCACCCGCCGGUGGAAGCACAUCAAUAGUUUGACCUCGGAUCAGGUGGGGAUACCCGCUGAACUUAA